This 500-nucleotide ribosomal RNA is filed under the name uncultured bacterium. Its description in RNAcentral is "partial 16S ribosomal RNA". It matches the Rfam family "Bacterial small subunit ribosomal RNA", at positions 28 to 507 of the family's 1533-position model. The record is from RNAcentral.
GACGAACGCUGGCGGCGUGCCUAAUACAUGCAAGUCGAGCGGACUUUCCGGAGUCCUUGCACUCCGGACGGUUUGCUGCGGACGGGUGAUUCACACGUACGCAACCUGCCCAUAAGACCGGGAUACCAUUCGGAAACGAAUGCUAAUACCGGCUCGACCGCCCUCUCGCAUGUGGUGAUCGGGAAAGGCCGCGCCCUCUGCCGCUUCUGCAUGGGCCUGCGGCGCAUUAGCUGGUUGGUGGGGUAACGGCCUACCAAGGCGACUCUGCGUAGCCGACCUGAGAGGGUGAUCGGCCACACUGGGACUGAGACACGGCCCAGAGGCGUACGGGAGGCAGAAGUAGGGAAUCUUCCGAAAUGGACGCAAGUCUGACGGAGCAACGCCGCGUGAGGGAGGAAGGCCUACGGGUAGGAAAGCUCUGUUGAGAGGGAAGAACGGGUAGGGGAGUAACUGGGCUUGCCAUGACGGUACCUGAGAAGAAAGCCCCGGCUAACUACGUG